CCUAAUACAUGCAAGUAGAACGCUGAAGAGAGGAGCUUGCUCUUCUUGGAUGAGUUGCGAACGGGUGAGUAACGCGUAGGUAACCUGCCUUGUAGCGGGGGAUAACUAUUGGAAACGAUAGCUAAUACCGCAUAACAAUGGAUGACACAUGUCAUUUAUUUGAAAGGGGCAAUUGCUCCACUACAAGAUGGACCUGCGUUGUAUUAGCUAGUAGGUGAGGUAACGGCUCACCUAGGCGACGAUACAUAGCCGACCUGAGAGGGUGAUCGGCCACACUGGGACUGAGACACGGCCCAGACUCCUACGGGAGGCAGCAGUAGGGAAUCUUCGGCAAUGGGGGCAACCCUGACCGAGCAACGCCGCGUGAGUGAAGAAGGUUUUCGGAUCGUAAAGCUCUGUUGUAAGUUAAGAACGAGUGUGAGAGUGGAAAGUUCACACUGUGACGGUAGCUUACCAGAAAGGGACGGCUAACUACGUGCCAGCAGCCGCGGUAAUACGUAGGUCCCGAGCGUUGUCCGGAUUUAUUGGGCGUAAAGCGAGCGCAGGCGGUUUGAU
This 555-nucleotide ribosomal RNA is filed under the name uncultured Streptococcus sp. Its description in RNAcentral is "bacterial SSU rRNA". It matches the Rfam family "Bacterial small subunit ribosomal RNA", at positions 47 to 584 of the family's 1533-position model. Lineage: Bacteria; Bacillati; Bacillota; Bacilli; Lactobacillales; Streptococcaceae. The record is from RNAcentral.